AGGAUUAACGCUGGCGGCGUGCCUAACACAUGCAAGUCGAACGGACCUUUAUUUUUGAGACGCCCCAUAUCUUGGAGCGUCCCAUAAAUAAUGGUUAGUGGCGGACGGGUGAGUAACACGUUGGUACCUGCCCUCUAGUGGGGGAUAAGCCCGAGAAAUCGGGUCUAAUACCGCAUGUGAUCUAUGGAUCAAAGCAGCAAUGCGCUAGAGGAGGGGCCUGCGGCUGAUUAGCUUGUUGGUAGGGUAAUGGCCUACCAAGGCGACGAUCAGUAGCUGGAUCGAGAGGUUGACCAGCCACACUGGGACUGAGAUACGGCCCAGACUCCUACGGGAGGCAGCAGUGAGGAAUUUUCCACAAUGGAC
RNAcentral lists this ribosomal RNA (363 nucleotides) under uncultured bacterium. RNAcentral describes it as "SSU rRNA". It matches the Rfam family "Bacterial small subunit ribosomal RNA", at positions 26 to 376 of the family's 1533-position model. The record is from RNAcentral.